GCGGGCGUGGCGGAAUUGGUAGACGCGCUGGAUUUAGGUUCCAGUGCCGCAAGGCGUGGGGGUUCAAAUCCCUCCGCCCGCACCA
RNAcentral lists this transfer RNA (85 nucleotides) under Hyphomicrobium sp. Its description in RNAcentral is "tRNA-Leu". It matches the Rfam family "tRNA". From Rfam's summary of the family: Transfer RNA (tRNA) molecules are approximately 80 nucleotides in length. Their secondary structure includes four short double-helical elements and three loops (D, anti-codon, and T loops). The record is from RNAcentral. RNAcentral also lists the same sequence under 2 other names. Lineage: Bacteria; Pseudomonadati; Pseudomonadota; Alphaproteobacteria; Hyphomicrobiales; Hyphomicrobiaceae.